Molecule: ribosomal RNA, 411 nt
Filed under: Triticum aestivum (bread wheat)
Lineage: Eukaryota; Viridiplantae; Streptophyta; Magnoliopsida; Poales; Poaceae
Description: partial small subunit ribosomal RNA
Source: RNAcentral
AUGAUGCACGGUCCGUGUGGUGAAAUGAAUGAUAAAUGUGUCUGCAUGAAAAAGGGUGUUUGUUCCAAAUAUUUCCCAAAAGAUUUUAGAGAUACCACUGUCAUUGAUGAUAAUGGGUUUGCCUUAUAUCAACGUCGUGACGACGGUCGAAGGGUCUAUAAAAAUGGUCAUUACCUUGACAAUAGGCAUGUUGUUCCUUAUAAUAUGGCGAUGCUCAAGAAAUUUCAGGGACAUAUAAAUGCAGAGUGGUGUAAUAAGAUACAGGUGGUGAAAUAUUUCCUUAAGUAUGUCACCAAAGGUGCUGACUACUCUAAGGUUAUGUUAGAAAGGCUAAAAACAUUGAUUAAAUCUAGUUGUCGUACAGUAGAUGAGGUUCAGGAGUAUCUGAUAUGUCGGUAUAUAUGUGAGUAG